CGGGGCUACACAGGAUCAAUGGCAGGAUAAAGAGAAUAGAGGUAACCUGGAGAAAUGUGAACCUCUGGAGUAGCAGCUCUCUGAGUCAACAAAACAGGGUUCUGUGGAUGUUUCGUGCCUCUGUUGCAAAGGUCCAUAAGGUUCACUAGGGCAAACCCCAGGCCACAGGAAUUAGCUCAAGAAGGGAAAUAUGAUCCAAACACCGGGCGAAUAUCUCCAUCGCCAAUAUUUGCUAGAACUAUUAAGAAGCUGCGAGAAGUUGAAGCAUUUUUUUUUUCCUACUGGAGUUGCCUGUCUAGUAAGGAUGACAGUCUGAAGCUUUUGCUGGUCAUCUUGCCACCAUGAAAAGAGGACCCUUCUGUGAAUAAAACCAACGCCGAUGAAGGCA
Molecule: long non-coding RNA, 388 nt
Filed under: Ursus maritimus (polar bear)
Lineage: Eukaryota; Metazoa; Chordata; Mammalia; Carnivora; Ursidae
Description: lncRNA (ENSUMAG00000006592.1)
Source: RNAcentral